RNAcentral lists this ribosomal RNA (1031 nucleotides) under Dendropsophus sarayacuensis (Shreve's Sarayacu treefrog). RNAcentral describes it as "partial 16S ribosomal RNA". It matches the Rfam family "Bacterial large subunit ribosomal RNA", at positions 1240 to 2925 of the family's 2925-position model. The record is from RNAcentral. Lineage: Eukaryota; Metazoa; Chordata; Amphibia; Anura; Hylidae.
CCCUUUAUUAAUAUUAAGUUAUUCUAUAUUACUAUAGAAGCCAUUAUGUUAAAACUAGUAAUAAGAAGANAGGCCUUCUCUUGAAUGUACGUAUAAACCAGAAAGGACCCCCCCCCGGUAAUUAAACGUCCGUGAUUAAAAAACAGCAACUUCUACUAGAAAACCCUGUUAUUCNNNNCUAGCGUUAACCUAACACCAGCACAUUUCAAGAAAGAUUAAAAGAAAAAGAAGGAACUCGGCAAAUAUUAACCCCGCCUGUUUACCAAAAACAUCGCCUCUUGNAGCCCNUAUAAGAGGUCUAGCCUGCCCAGUGACUUAGUUUAACGGCCGCGGUAUCCUAACCGUGCGAAGGUAGCGUAAUCACUUGUUCUUUAAAUGAGGACUAGUAUGAAUGGCAUCACGAGGGUUCCACUGUCUCCUUUUUCCAAUCAAUGAAACUGAUCUUCCCGUGAAGAAGCGGGAAUCUUAAUAUUAGACGAGAAGACCCUAUGGAGCUUCAAACUANAAUAGCACUGGCUUUUCCCNNNNCUAUAUACCUCAAGNNNNGGGUAUUAACCCUUAUUCUAGCCUNUUUAACUAUUAGUUUUAGGUUGGGGUGACCGCGGAGCAAAAAUUAACCUCCACAAUGAAUAGCACUANUUCUUGAGCCAAAAGCCACAACUUUAAGCACUAACAAACUAACAUAAAUUGACCCAAUAUUUUGAACAACGAACCAAGUUACCCUAGGGAUAACAGCGCAAUCCUCUUCAAGAGCCCUUAUCGACAAGUGGGUUUACGACCUCNGAUGUUGGAUCAGGAUAUCCCAGUGGUGCAGCCGCUACUAAAGGUUCGUUUGUUCAACGAUUAAAAUCCUACGUGAUCUGAGUUCAGACCGGAGUAAUCCAGGUCAGUUUCUAUCUAUAANAGAGCUUUUUCUAGUACGAAAGGACCGNAAAAAGCAUGGCCAAUACUAAAAGCAAGCCAUCAUAAAUAACUUAUGAGUUAUCCUCAAUAAAAUUUUAAUCUACUAUNNUUCUUUCAAGAAAAAGAAG